CUUUUAAGAUCUUUAAAUAUCUUUUCCAUCUUUUGUCCAUGUUUAUGGACCAAUGUCCCCUUUGCCAUUUUGGCAUUCAUUAGACAACAAACAUUUGAGAAUCGUACAUUACUAGUCUCAAUGUCAUGCAUCUUAUGCAAACUUUCAACCAUGGCACAAGAAGUGUCCAUGUGCUUAUGUAGCUUCAUAAGCUCCUCACUAAGUGAAGUAAGGAUUAAGCAUUUGGCUUGUAAAUCAUCCUCAUAGUGUCUAACAUAAUUUUGACACUCCUCCUUUGAAGCUAGUUUCGUAGGAGGUAUAUGAGGAGGGGAUUGCUUAAGCACAUACAAUAUGUCUUUCACCUUUGAGACAUUCUCAAUGUGGCUAUACCAAGCAAGGAAACGUUGGCCCUUAAGGCCCCUUUUGUCAAGUAUCUGGUGUGUAUAAUUUUAGGCAUGUCGUUAACUACAUAACAUAACAGAAAUCGUAUUAGAUUGUUUGUUUAAAACUAUUUGAUUGGGUCUUUGAAUCAAAUAGUACCACCCACUAUUUUUGGCAAAUUCCACAUCCCUCAAUAGAAUUCAAGAGUUAUAUUGAACUCUUAGCGGGGUAUGGGAGACUCACCAUUACCAAGCCCACCUCACGAUGAUACGAUGUUGGCUAGCAAAAAUAAUGAUGAGAGAAUAACGCAUUAUUUAUUUACAACCUUUUGUAAUUACCCAUCCGUUUCGCCUCUAGAGAAUGUUGCCUCAAGAUGAUAC
Molecule: long non-coding RNA, 740 nt
Filed under: Malus domestica (apple)
Lineage: Eukaryota; Viridiplantae; Streptophyta; Magnoliopsida; Rosales; Rosaceae
Description: long non-coding RNA (MDOM_LNC006003)
Source: RNAcentral